Molecule: ribosomal RNA, 871 nt
Filed under: Neofusicoccum sp.
Lineage: Eukaryota; Fungi; Ascomycota; Dothideomycetes; Botryosphaeriales; Botryosphaeriaceae
Description: partial large subunit ribosomal RNA
Rfam family: Eukaryotic large subunit ribosomal RNA
Source: RNAcentral
CGGAGGAAAGAAACCAACAGGGAUUGCCUUAGUAACGGCGAGUGAAGCGGCAAUAGCUCAAAUUUGAAAGCUGGCCCCUUCGGGGUCCGCGUUGUAAUUUGUAGAGGAUGAUUCGGCGAGGGCUCCCGUCUAAGUCCCUUGGAACAGGGCGUCAUAGAGGGUGAGAAUCCCGUAUGUGAUGGGCUGCCUUAGCCAUGUGAAUCUCCUUCGACGAGUCGAGUUGUUUGGGAAUGCAGCUCUAAAUGGGAGGUAAAUUUCUUCUAAAGCUAAAUACCGGCCAGAGACCGAUAGCGCACAAGUAGAGUGAUCGAAAGAUGAAAAGCACUUUGGAAAGAGAGUUAAAAAGUACGUGAAAUUGUUGAAAGGGAAGCGCUUGCAGCCAGACUUGUCCGCAGUUGCUCAGCUUGUCUCCUGACAGGCGUACUCUUCUGCGGCCAGGCCAGCAUCAGUUCGGGCGGUCGGAUAAAGACCUGGGGAAUGUAGCUCCUCUCGGGGAGUGUUAUAGCCCUGGGUGCAAUGCGGCCAGCCUGGACUGAGGAUCUCGCUUCGGCUAGGAUGCUGGCGUAAUGGCUGUAAGCGGCCCGUCUUGAAACACGGACCAAGGAGUCUAACAUCUAUGCGAGUGUUUGGGUGUCAAACCCAUGCGCGUAAUGAAAGUGAACGGAGGUGGGAACCCUCACGGGUGCACCAUCGACCGAUCCUGAUGUCUUCGGAUGGAUUUGAGUAAGAGCAUAGCUGUUGGGACCCGAAAGAUGGUGAACUAUGCCUGAAUAGGGUGAAGCCAGAGGAAACUCUGGUGGAGGCUCGCAGCGGUUCUGACGUGCAAAUCGAUCGUCAAAUUUGGGUAUAGGGGCGAAAGACUAAUCGAACC